CACGCCUGUAAACGAUGGAGUCGCUAGCGCUGUUGGGCGAGCCUUGCCUGUUCUCGGCGCCGCUAAUACUUUAUUCAUCCCCCCUGGGGAGGCGGCCGCAAGAUUGCUCUCCUCAGAAUUGUUGACGGCCGUCCGCACCAGCGGAGGAUGUUGCUGAUUAAUUCGAUGCAACGCGAAGAACCUUACCUGGGUUUGACAUCGCCGGAAAUCCUCCAGAGAUGGGGGGUCCUUCGGGGCCGGUGACAGACAGGUGCUGCAUGGCUGUCGUCAGCUCGUGUCGUGAGAUGUUGGGUUAAGUCCCGCACCA
Molecule: ribosomal RNA, 307 nt
Filed under: uncultured bacterium
Lineage: Bacteria
Description: bacterial SSU rRNA
Rfam family: Bacterial small subunit ribosomal RNA
Source: RNAcentral